Long non-coding RNA from Felis catus (domestic cat), 719 nucleotides. RefSeq lists it as uncharacterized. The transcript has 3 exons. Lineage: Eukaryota; Metazoa; Chordata; Mammalia; Carnivora; Felidae. The record is from RefSeq and is a predicted model, not a curated record.
GCAGAUGUCCAGGCAGCUACAUCAGAUGGGCCACUGCCAGCCACGGAGGUGUGGGCUUAUGCAAAGCGAGGGCUACUGCCUGGGGACCCAGUGCCUGGAUGGGGCAGACGCAGGGGCCCAACGCUACCAUUUACAAGCUGUGGGAUUUUUUUGCCAAAUGACUUGAGUGUCUCAGAACUUCAGUGCGCUCCGCCCACGAGGAGGUAACAACACUUCCCCCGGCUGAUGCUUGUAAGCGUACAAUAAAGUAAAUGCAUUUGUCACACAGAUGACUUCACUGAUCUCCCUUUCCGCAUCUGUAGACCUGGCCCUCCUUUGCAGAAAGAACAGAGUACGGUCCUCUUGCACAAGCCCUGGAGACUAAGGAAUGAUCUUUUUGUACAACCUGCCCAAACCCCAGGCACCAAGGAACUAGAACUUCUUGUACAACGUCUGCGCACUGAGCUGACUCAGUAGCUGGCAUCACGGACUCUGUGCCUAAGCCAGAAAUGUCUCAGAUCACUGUGCUCCCUUAACUGAUUAAACCCCUUUAAAAAUCUCCAGGCCAGGCAGAAACCUGGGAGUUGGACUUUGGACAAGAAUCCACCUUCACCGCCAAGUGGCCCUUCAUGUGAUUUUCUCAGAAACCCAAAUCAUCCACUUCCUUAGUGUUGUAUCAAACAGCAACAAUAUCAGUUCAAAUUAGAGGAAAUCUAUGCCAACACCGCUUCUUUUUUUUU